RNAcentral lists this ribosomal RNA (402 nucleotides) under uncultured bacterium. Its description in RNAcentral is "bacterial SSU rRNA". It matches the Rfam family "Bacterial small subunit ribosomal RNA", at positions 355 to 773 of the family's 1533-position model. The record is from RNAcentral.
UGGGGAAUCUUGGACAAUGGGCGAAAGCCUGAUCCAGCCAUGCCGCGUGAGUGAAGAAGGCCCUAGGGUUGUAAAGCUCUUUCGGCGGGGACGAUAAUGACGGUACCCGCAGAAGAAGCCCCGGGCUAACUCCGUGCCAGCAGCCGCGGUAAUACGGAGGGGGCUAGCGUUGUUCGGAAUUACUGGGCGUAAAGCGCACGUAGGCGGGUCGUUAAGUCGGGGGUGAAAUCCUGGGGCUCAACCUCAGAACUGCCUUCGAUACUGACGAUCUUGAGUACGGGAGAGGUGAGUGGAAUUCCCAGUGUAGAGGUGAAAUUCGUAGAUAUUGGGAAGAACACCAGUGGCGAAGGCGGCUCACUGGCCCGUAACUGACGCUGAGGUGCGAAAGCGUGGGGAGCAAAC